Molecule: ribosomal RNA, 830 nt
Filed under: uncultured bacterium
Lineage: Bacteria
Description: bacterial SSU rRNA
Rfam family: Bacterial small subunit ribosomal RNA
Source: RNAcentral
CAUUGGCUCAANCCAAUGUAUGCUUUGGAAACUGUUAGACUNGAGUGCAGAAGGGGAGAGUGGAAUUCCAUGUGUAGCGGUGAAAUGCGUAGAUAUAUGGAGGAACACCGGUGGCGAAAGCGGCUCUCUGGUCUGUCACUGACGCUGAGGCUCGAAAGCGUGGGUAGCGAACAGGAUUAGAUACCCUGGUAGUCCACGCCGUAAACGCUGAGUGCUAGGUGUUAGGUCCUUUCCGGGACUUAGUGCCGACGCUAACGCAUUAAGCACUCCGCCUGGGGAGUACGACCGCAAGGUUGAAACUCAAAGGAAUUGACGGGGGCCCGCACAAGCGGUGGAGCAUGUGGUUUAAUUCGAAGCAACGCGAAGAACCUUACCAGGUCUUGACAUCCCGAUGCCCGCUCUAGAGAUGGAGUUUUUCUUCGGAACAUCGGAGACAGGUGGUGCAUGGUUGUCGUCAGCUCGUGUCGUGAGAUGUUGGGUUAAGUCCCGCAACGAGCGCAACCCUUAUUGUUAGUUGCCAUCAUUAAGUUGGGCACUCUAGCGAGACUGCCGGUAAUAAACCGGAGGAAGGUGGGGAUGACGUCAAAUCAUCAUGCCCCUUAUGACCUGGGCUACACACGUGCUACAAUGGUUGGUACAACGAGUCGCAAGCCGGUGACGGCAAGCUAAUCUCUGAAAGCCAAUCUCAGUUCGGAUUGUAGGCUGCAACUCGCCUACAUGAAGUCGGAAUCGCUAGUAAUCGCGGAUCAGCACGCCGCGGUGAAUACGUUCCCGGGCCUUGUACACACCGCCCGUCACACCACGAGAGUUUGUAACACCCAAAGUCGGUG